This 254-nucleotide ribosomal RNA is filed under the name uncultured bacterium. RNAcentral's name for it is "partial 16S ribosomal RNA". It matches the Rfam family "Bacterial small subunit ribosomal RNA", at positions 524 to 776 of the family's 1533-position model. The record is from RNAcentral.
UACAGAGGAUGCAAGCGUUAUCCGGAAUGAUUGGGCGUAAAGCGUCUGUAGGUGGCUUUUUAAGUCCGCCGUCAAAUCCCAGGGCUCAACUCUGGACAGGCGGUGGAAACUACCAAGCUGGAGUACGGUAGGGGCAGAGGGAAUUUCCGGGUGGAGCGGUGAAAUGCGCAGAUAUCAGGAGGAACACCGAUGGCGAAGGCAGGUCUCUGGGCAUUAACUGACGCUGAGGAGCGAAAGCAUGGGGAGCGAACAGG